Manis javanica (Malayan pangolin) is the source of this 358-nucleotide non-coding RNA. NCBI's taxonomy places the organism in Eukaryota, Metazoa, Chordata, Mammalia, Pholidota, Manidae. The record is from RefSeq and is a predicted model, not a curated record.
AAAAGGAGGGCUCACUUUCAAGAAGUUAUUUGGUUGUGUAAUUUAAAGCAACGCGCCUUCUCCAGACCUCGCAGGCGUCGCAGCGCGGAGAAGCCAGCUGUCCCGUGGCAGUGAUUUCGGAAAUGUGCUCAGCCAAGAAGUCUGUAUGGCCACCCUACAGGCCCCUGAUCAGACCCCACUUGAGUGGCACCCGGAUUGUCUUACCAAACUGGCAAGGCUGCUGAAUUUCCAGAGAGUCCUGGAAUAUUCUGGAUGGCUCAAGCCUCCAAGAGCUUGCGAAUGGCAAGGCUCAAGGGAGAGUUGGAGAAUAAUCUGGCAGAAGUGCCCAUCGGCCACCCCCCACUCUGUUUCCCCUCUA